Molecule: ribosomal RNA, 396 nt
Filed under: uncultured bacterium
Lineage: Bacteria
Description: partial 16S ribosomal RNA
Rfam family: Bacterial small subunit ribosomal RNA
Source: RNAcentral
AUACGUAGGUGGCAAGCGUUGUCCGGAUUUACUGGGCGUAAAGGGCGUGUAGGCGGUCUUGCAAGUCAGAAGUGAAAUUCCUGAGCUCAACUCGGGCGCUGCUUCUGAAACUGCAGGACUUGAGUGCUGGAGGGGAUAGCGGAAUUCCUAGUGGAGCGGUAAAAUGCGCAGAUAUUAGGAAGAAAACCGGUGGCGAAGGCGGCUAUCUGGACAGUAACUGACGCUGAGGCGCGAAAGCGUGGGGAGCAAACAGGAUUAGAUACCCUGGUAGUCCACGCCAUAAACGAUGAAUACUAGGUGUAGGGGGUAUCGACCCCCUCUGUGCCGACGUUAACACAUUAAGUAUUCCACCUGGGGAGUACGGCCGCAAGGCUGAAACUCAAAGGAAUUGACGGG